Molecule: ribosomal RNA, 269 nt
Filed under: uncultured prokaryote
Description: partial 16S ribosomal RNA
Rfam family: Bacterial small subunit ribosomal RNA
Source: RNAcentral
UACGGAAGUGGCGAGCGUUAUCCGGAUUUACUGGGCGUAAAGCGUUCGUAGGCGGCGUGGCCAGUCGGAUUUGAAAUCCCGGGGCUCAACUCCGGAACUGGAUCCGAUACUACCAUGCUUGAGCAAAUCAGAGGGCAGUGGAAUUCCCGGUGUAGCGGUAAUAUGCGUAGAUAUCGGGAGGAACACCAGUGGCGAAGGCGGCUGCCUGGGGUUUUGCUGACGCUGAGGAACGAAAGCCAGGGGAGCGAACGGGAUUAGAUACCCCCGUA